AAGAGCCAGUGAUGAUUGAAAAAGAUUGUCUACAUUGUUUGAUGUACCACUGAAAUGAAUUCUUUAAUUAGUCUGAGGCUCAU
Small nucleolar RNA from Arabidopsis thaliana (thale cress), 83 nucleotides. It matches the Rfam family "Small nucleolar RNA SNORD34". From Rfam's summary of the family: snoRNA U34 is found in intron 5 of the ribosomal protein L13a gene in humans. U34 is a member of the C/D class of snoRNA which contain C (UGAUGA) and D (CUGA) box motifs, and functions in directing site-specific 2'-O-methylation of 25S rRNAs. The record is from Rfam. Lineage: Eukaryota; Viridiplantae; Streptophyta; Magnoliopsida; Brassicales; Brassicaceae.